AAACAACUCCAAAUUGGCAUCUAUGGGACAAGGAAACAGAUUUCAUCCAUUACCGUAACUGUGCAGUAUGCAUUUUGCAUGUCAUUACCUGACUCCUCUGUAUCAGGCAUCAAAAACCAUUAGAACAGAGUGGGAUGAUAACUAUACUCUCCACCUCUAUCUUUCCUAUAAAGCAAUUUGUAGCAACGGUGUUUCAGGCAGGCCUCUGACAGCAGCCUGGAAUAUUGAAAAGAUUGUGUCACUCUUAAGAGAGCCAAGUAUUGUGCAUGUGUUUGUGUGUCCUUGUGUGCACUUGUAGAGCCUGAAUACAGAUGGUCUAUUAUGGAUAUAGAGAGCUGAAUGGCGGCACUUGCUGUUCCUGCAGCUCUACUGCCAACAGAAGAGCAUUUACUGCUACGCUGGGCGGACUGUGGCUGCAUGCGAACAAAAGAUCCUUUUCCCGAGCUGUUUUUAAAGUAUCUAGGAUACCGUUAGUUUAGCAAAGCCAAGCAAGGACACAAAUUGAUUGAUCACUUUAUCCAGAGCACCUCUGCUAUAAGUCCUUGCAGAGUGAGUAAUUGGCCAGCAGGCAAUUUGAAUGCAAACAGUGGCAGUUGUUAUUGAGUCUGCUCACUAGCGUAGCAAUUAUUCAGCAGCAUUAACUUAACAUACUGCCAUUGUCCGCUUCAAACGGCUUCAAUCACCUGCUCUUAUUAGUGUUGAGCCCUGUUUGUCGCUCUUUAGUGAGACCAGGAAAGAGCAGUAAGAGGGGAAGUAAAUGAACUAUCUCAUAUACUAAAAUUAGCAUGUGAAUUAGUCCAAGUCAGGUUUGGAAACUCGCAAUGCCUACAGGGGGAAUGCCCUUCAAAGUUCACGAAAUGCCACUGAGCUCAUAAAGUCUCACUUAAAUUAGAUCAACAGGGCAAAAAACUAUGUGGAAAAUUUUUUAAACAGCAUUUACCACCCAAACAGGGAGAGCAGAGACUAUUAAAACAUUAACACACUUCAAUCUGUCCAUUACAAGGAACAUCUCAUUGCCUGUGCCACUAUUUAGUUUGUAGUUUGUACCAGUAGGGUUAUGCUAAAGUGCAGGACUCAGGUCUUUUUUAGAUUAGAAUGGCGCCAUUAAAAGCAGAUUAGUCUAUUCUCUGCAAUUUUUUAAAAAAUCACAGUGCAGUCAUCAGACAAUAUUUCACAUGAGCUCACCUAGAUUCUAUCGACUACUAGGGGGCUAGCAAGAAAAAUUGUAGGUGUACAGAUACAGUAAAAAGCUCACGCCAGUAACUUUAAAGAAAUUUUCAGGAAUUUUUUGCAUGUCCAAAAGUGGCUUAGGUAACAAACUUAGCAACGAAGACACACCUUAGCAGUCCACCAUUCUUAUCGUUGCCAAACAGCCAAAAAUUAACAAUAGUUCAUUAUUAGUUCAUUAUCCUUAUUCAGUCAGUGCGUUUACAUACACUGCUUCAUUGGACUAAGCUCAUGAUUCUUUUUUUUUUUUACUGAAUCAGACUUCUCUCCUUGUCCGUGUAUACAUGCAGCUGAGAAAAUCUAAUUAUUGACAUGAACAUAUCCUCCUCCUCAAAACUAGGGGGCGAUAUGGGUCUUUUCAGCUGCGCUGUUUCUGGUUGACUCCAUACAACUGUCAACAACAACACUGUGCCAGAUGUCAGAAGUGGCUACAACUGCUGGUGGGCAUUUUCGAGGAAGAAGUUGAAGCGUUGUUUUUGUCGCACAUAAUGUACGCACAACUUUUUCCGCAGAUGAGAUGCAGGCUACUCCUCUUCUCUGGUGUUUUUGUUCGAGGGUUACGGGGGCGUGAUGCAUGCGCACAUGCAUUGUCCGAUCAUACUCUGACUAUGUUGGUUGCAUGGUAGAGAAAAUCUAAUUCCGAUCGCACUAUCUGGGUGUCUUAAUCAGAGUUCUCAAACUCUGAUUUUAGUCAGACUGUGGUGUUUACAUGCACGUCAGUUGUCCGGUCUUAAUCGGAGUAAAGCAAUUAUCCCGUUUCCUUGAGUGUAAUGUAAACAUACUGAGUUACAGCUCCUGUCAUAAUGUUUAAACAGAUUCCACUGAUCUUGAGUUUUGCUCUCAAAGAUUUUUUAGUGUUGUAUUUGUAAAACAUCUCUUCAGGAGGAGACAGUAUUAAACCCAAACUUGAAAGGAUAUUUGUCCUGGAUGCAUGCAGAAAUCUAAGUGAACUGCUGCAGUAUCUUGGGUUGAUAUUGUUGGCAGGCUCCCAGGUAGAGGUAACAGUCCAUGUUGUCUGGUUUGUUAAUAUUUUGUGGGCUGCAGUUAUUUUUGAGAUUUAGUUUGACCUGCAGGACUUGCCUCUGACACUGUCAAAUUUUUAACUAGCUUCACCUCUGGAUUGGUGUGCUUCCCUUCUUUCUGUCAGCAUAUUAAUCAAAACACUUCCUGCAUUUUGGUUUCUCCCUUUGACUCACAUCCUUGGCAUUUAUCCAUAUGAGCACAUUGAGAAUGGAUGUGUUUGAGUUUUGGAUUUAAGGGUUUCCGUUCCUUUUUAAUUGCAACAGGAUCUGCUGCCAGAGAUGAGCAACUGGGGAGGAAACUGCUCCGCUGCUUGCAGAUUUUUUCUCUCGAUUCAGCAUCCUAACAGCAUCCUGCCACUGGAGGACAUGACAGGGUGAAUGAAGGAUAGAGGGGCUGAAUGGUGGUAGAAAAAAAAAACUAUGUAAUGAUUUACAGCACAGCUACAAGUCAAUAGCACUUAAAAAUCCAAUCUGGCUUGACUUUGAGACUGUGAAAUGAUGUUAGAUCAGUUGUUAUAUGGUGAAAUGUCCAAUUGAUAUUUGGUGUGUUUGGAGUUGCUGGAUUAUAUGAAGUGGUGAUUUGAAAAAACUGAACUUAAUAGUAGUUAUAAUUAUGAUAUAAUUAUUAUUUAACUGCUUAAAAGAGAAGCAAAUAAAAUUAUAUAUAUAUUUUAAUAACAUGCCAAAGGACCAAGCUAGUUAAACAAAUCCUUGAACCAGAUUAAAAAUAAUCUUAACUAAACUGUUUUAACACCACUUUGUGAUUAAAAAGUUGCACUAUAAUGUAACUUGAAGCUGAAUAGUUCAAUUACAUACUCACUGGUUAAAAGGAGAGUCUUAUCGACUAUCUGGUGAUUGUCUAAUGCUCUGCAGUGUGGGUUUGGAUUCACUUUAAGUCAUUAUGAAAGCUAAACUGAAGCGUAUCUAAAGUGUGUUUUCACUGUUUAGAGCUGAAAGGAAGGGUCCAGUUAUUUAAAGUGUGGGAUUGGCUUCUCAGGGUCCCAAUGGAGAAGGGGGCCCGAGUAUUUUUGUAAAAAGAAGAAGAAAUUUAAAAACUUUUAAGGUCAAUUUUAAGGUCAAGGCAAGUGUCGCUGAAUCUUAUUAACGCUGGUUGGAUGUUUCAUUCAAGAGUCUAAACAAUGGCAAUCAAUAUUUAGGUUGUAAAAGAUGCCCUUGGGAACACUUCUUGUUGAGGAUAAUGGUCUCGCUUGUUCCCACUGCAUCCCUAAGAGUCUAUGUGACAUGAAAACAUAUUGACGUCACAAAUUGACUGAUUUUAAAUCUGUAAUGAGGUUAAAAACAUUAUAUAUAUUGGAACGUGUGGGGCUGUAAUACCGCUACAUGCCAUAAGAGACAAGGAAAAGUUACUUUUGUACCAAAGAAAUUAGUAUAAAGCAGCCUGUUUAAUCUAUUAAACUUUCUCCACUUUUUAUCCCUGUAUUCUGUAAGUUGGUAUAAAAAAUUGGGUGUUUGUAACAACAAAAAAGUUACUGGGGAAAUAUGAAUCUCCAGUUUUCAGCGAGUAAGUCAAACUUAUAUUAUCUGAAAGAUUUAAUGAGCAUAAUGGAGAUUCUACAAUAGCGAUCAUGUGGGGUUAAUUGUGCUUUGGUUGAAGGGCCUGAGUCGUAUAUUUUCAAGAGAUAUUCUGAAUUCCUGGCGACAGUUUUGGCGCUUUAGGAAACCAAAUAAUAAUAGAGACCAACUGGCAUAGAUUUAUCUGGGAGGAUUUUGUAAUUGGAAGUGUUCUAGUUUGCUUAUGUAGUCCAAACAGCAUCAUCAACAAAGGCAAACAGGCCCGGUUGUAAACAAAGGCAAUGCACUUGAAAUAAAGGCCCGGCGAGAGGAGUCGGAUAGUUUGUCAUCUCCCAGGGAGCUAGUGUGGAAAUCAAAUAUGGGUUCAGAGAUUUAGCAUGUGUAAAACUAAAAUAAAAGUGGUCCGAAGAUGGACCCUUGAGGCACUCCAAAUGACAAUAGACAACACUCCAUUGGAGACAAUACUUUUAAAAGCAGCUGGACAAAAGCGAAACAUCAUACUAGUUCUUUCUGAUCCAACAAAGUCUUAGUAAAAUGAAAUCCCUGAACAUGUUUUUUCUUGAAUACGUUGGCAGAUUCAGAAGAGAAUCAGUUUUUCCCGCCCACAGCGACAACUGAUUUAUGUGAGUUUAAGAGGAGGUCACUUGUGGGAGACACUGGGUUUACUUGGGACUUUGUUAGCAUCAAGAAUUGUUGGGUCUGUCUCCCAGUUGCUCAGAAGUCAUCAAUCCACCAGAGCUGUGUCUCGGACCACAUAGUUAAUCUCUCCACUAUCCUGCUCUGUCAGGAUAAGUAACAAUACUAAGUCUUCAUUUGCCUCCUCUUGCCGCAUGCCUCUCUCAUAAAUAAACUAAUUAACUUGGGCAGCGCCGGGUGUUGGGAGGAGGAGUAAGCUGUCCUACACACAUAUCAAUAUUCACAAGGGUGUAUACACCUGGACAUGCACGUAAACCUAGAGAUAUAUAUCCUAAACACAUUUUUACUCACGUCUUCCUCCACACUCACUCCUGCUUUCCUCCCCAACUGUCACGCUGAGCAGAAGUCCACAUGAAUACAAAUCAGUCUGCGCCUGUCUGUCCGGGUUUAAGGGAUUGCAACUCAGUAAAUAAUCUGAGACAAUGUGUGAGCAAAUGGAGGAAGAGAUAUCGCAAAGGACCAACAGAUAAAGGGAUAAACAGUUGGGCAGCUUUCUCAAGUUACAAUUAGUCAUAUCUGGGAAGUAGAUGCAUAGGAAAUCCUUCUUCAACCACGGGGACAAGGCUUUCUUUUUUUUUUUUUUUAGGGAUAAAGAUUCUGAAAACAAACAUUACUGGUUCUUACGGUUUGUUCCUCAAAUGAAUCUCUAAAUUGCCAAUUUUUCAAGCAGUGCGCAGAUAGUCUGGAGUUUUUUUUAGCUGAUUAAGAAAUUAUAAUUAAAAUGGUUGAAAAAAAAAAACGUGAUUGGGGGUUUAAAAGUGGAGAACUUUAUGAAGGGACUAGCUCUGUGCGGUUUGGUAUUCACACUUUUGUGAGGGACUCUCACUUUGUUUGGACUCUGAUGUCCUCUGUAGAGAGAGCUGUACCUAUCCGUUUGUAUUGUGCAUGUGAAGGUUUAAUCAUACUGUCAUUAAACAGCCAAAGCAUAAAUCUUUGCAAGGUUAAUUGUUAUGAAAGUACUGUUUAUCACUGACACUUACCUUGCAGACGCAGAUACAGGCAUGUAAAAUGAUAUACAAAGUGAUUUUCUUAAUGAUGGCCUUGGUCAUUUUUGUAGCUAAUAAAGAGGCAUCAGUAUUAGUCUCCCAUGUCAGAUUUUUCCUCCCUAUUAUGUCAAAAAUAUUUGAACAAAUAAAUCAGUAGUUUGUUUAAGAAAUAAACCAUGAUCGAUAUUGGUCUGCUUAACUCGAGGCAAGUGCUGCAGCCAAAGUGGGCAGUGCAUAUCAACAGGGGUCACCACAGUGAGACCUAUUGACCUCUUAAGAGUUACAGGGCACCGAAAUCGAAGUCGAUCAUUGAUAAAUGAAAUAUUUAUGUAAUUUUCACUCAAUAGAAGGUUAGAGAUCGACACAGAAAAGGCAAAUGUCAGUCUACAGAGAGAUGAGCAACAGCCAAAUGGAUUUUUGACACUUUUUAGUCAUAAUAACAAUAAAAGAAUCAGUGAGUGAUUUUCUUUUUGAGGAUGGACCAAACAAAGCUUGCAUGUUUUCACAGGUCUGCAUCAUGCUGUUGCUGUUUUAACAAAGAAGAUAAUCGCAAGAAAAUUUGUUUCUUUUUUGGUUCAUAGUGUAGACUGUAUGAUUACAGGACAAAGCACCAAUGAUGUCACCCAUCUGUUUCUGAAGCAGAGCUUAGAAGCGGACGCCAUAUUGGUAAUGCCAUCUCAACCAACCAGAGGCGGGUCUUCAGUGAUUACAGUGUGCCUGCCAGCCAGUCACAUCAGUCAUGCCUCUCAUUGGUCGUCCUCGUAUCCUGAAUAACUUUGAAACAAAUGUGUGACAAUAAUUUUCCCUUCCUGUACCCUGGGUGCUGUGGGAGCCCCAAGCUAAUCAGACCAA
Molecule: non-coding RNA, 6316 nt
Organism: Xyrichtys novacula (pearly razorfish)
Lineage: Eukaryota; Metazoa; Chordata; Actinopteri; Labriformes; Labridae
Source: the annotation of a GenBank genome assembly